Molecule: long non-coding RNA, 238 nt
Filed under: Pan troglodytes (chimpanzee)
Lineage: Eukaryota; Metazoa; Chordata; Mammalia; Primates; Hominidae
Description: long non-coding RNA NONPTRT009006
Source: RNAcentral
AGGUGAAUGGAAUCGCGUUCCAUCCUGUUCAUGGCACCCUUGCAACUGUGGGAUCUGAUGGUAGAUUCAGCUUCUGGGACAAAGAUGCCAGAACAAAACUAAAAACUUCGGAACAGUUAGAUCAGCCCAUCUCAGCUUGCUGUUUCAAUCACAAUGGAAACAUAUUUGCGUACGCUUCCAGCUACGACUGGUCAAAGGCCUGCUGCUGCUUCUGUGUUUCCCUGUUUGAGGGUUUGCU